Panicum virgatum (switchgrass) is the source of this 1871-nucleotide long non-coding RNA. RefSeq lists it as uncharacterized. The transcript is spliced from 2 exons. Lineage: Eukaryota; Viridiplantae; Streptophyta; Magnoliopsida; Poales; Poaceae. The record is from RefSeq and is a predicted model, not a curated record.
UAAUAUCUAACCGCCGGCGCACUGCAUGGCGAGGAGAGCAGCCGCGGCCAAUGCAUGCACUCGCAACUGCAAAUCGGCACCAGUCUAAUAUUACCCCCGGCGCCUGCAAUGCCUCCCUUCCGUCCUUCCGCCCAACACCAGUAUAGGCGAUCGAGCAGCGAUGGAGUGGCUAGCUGGGAAAGAAGAAGCAUCAAUGGCGCUAGCGAUGCUAGCGCCCUGCAACGCGGUGGAGGCAUGGAGCUGCACGCUUCGUAGCUAGCUGACCCUGGGCAGAGGCCAGCAGGAAACCUCGAGCUGCAAGCAGGGAUCAGAGACUGAACAAGGCAUCUAUAUGCAGUGGCUUCUGCUUCAUCUGCAGACGGGCUGGGACUGGGAGAGGGGGAGCAACCCUGCUAGCCUCUAAUGAAACAAUUUCACCUAUCUGAAGUUCUUCUCUAGUUCCUGCAAAAUUUGAGUUUAUUUCCCAGUUUUUAUGUCUGCACUAACAACUUGGGUUUGUUCCGAGAUCUUGACAAAUGCAGGGCAAUGCUGAUGAGCUCAGUUAAAAUCUGGUUCCCCAAGUUAACACUACGUUCAACUGCUAGCAAAUUACAGCUGUUUUUACAUCUCAUUGACCGUGCGUACGUGGUAAUAUGCAAUAAAUUCACGCACCUUCCUCUUGUCUGCUGCUGGAGUUACAGGCCACGGUGUGGUGUCGCCGACGCAACUUGCUGUAAACCUGUAACCUUAAUGGUAUGGUACGUGAGCAGCAGCAGAUCGAGCAGAAAUAUUCGCCGCGGGCAGGUGACCAAGCAGUGCAUCUCCUGUGCGAUUCGCGGAGCCCUCGUGCCGAAGCCUGAUGCGAAUGUGGCCGGCAGGGGCCACGCGAGGCUUGGUGUCCCUGCAACGCCGCGACGCGUUGCCACAUGCCCCUCUCUGUCAGCAGAGUGAUGACUGAAACAUGCGAGGAAGGAGGAGCCGCCGGACAGACCUUGAUUAAACUACAGCAAUCUUCUCAUCGGAGUCGGAGGCAGCGACGACGACUGAGCAGCAGCUCGCAUGGCAUGAUCAGCACAUGAGAGGUUGGUUGGUUGAUGAUGAGGACAACGACAAGAGGAAUCGUAGCCAUGGAGACAGGAAGUAAAGAUAAUAUAUAUACAAAGAGAAGCGCUAGUUUUCACUGCCAUGUCUGAUGGUGAAGCGGCAAGCAGGCGUGGGAUGCCAGUGAUGCCACGAUGAUCCUGCAAGUGGCUGAUGACUGCAUCGUGCAGCUAAUCUUUUUUUGCUGGGAACCUUAUCUCUCCGAUCUGCAUCUGCUCAAACCAAAGCUAGCUAUAUAAAGGCCAUCGGAAGCAGCAAGCCAGUCGCGCCCCAAUUACAAGAAGCGCAACAACACGCGAACACAGCUAGCAGCUGCUGUGUUCUCCAGUUCUUGUAGAGCCCUCCAUUGUUGCGACUUACAGCAGAGUCAGCGAGGAAGGAAGCUGAGAAUGAAGACGAAGGUUGGGAUGCGGCGGCAGAGAGGAGGGCAGGCGGCAGCGGCGCCUGGAGGGUUCAGCAGGUCCCUCAAGGAGCAGAGGUCCAAGGUGUACAUCGCCAUGCGAUGCGUCGUGAUGCUUCUCAGGUGGCAUGACUGAAGAUCCAUCGGCUCGGCGGUCGCCAUUCAGCACCAACUGACCAAGAUUUUGAAAGUUCACUGUUUUUUUUCUUGGGAGGGAGGAGUGUUCUCUCGACUGUCUUUUUUCUUAAUUUUUUUUUGUUCCGAUUGCCAGAAUGGUAGCGGGCAAGGUAGACGAUGCAUGUACAUAGAGAGUUCCAUAUAGAGAGGUGGAUACUAAUCAGACACAUACAACUUUAACUGUGGUACAUCCUGAUUGGAAGAAGAUUGUUUU